Molecule: ribosomal RNA, 277 nt
Filed under: uncultured bacterium
Lineage: Bacteria
Description: partial 16S ribosomal RNA
Rfam family: Bacterial small subunit ribosomal RNA
Source: RNAcentral
GACGGAGGGGGCUAGCGUUGUUCGGAAUUACUGGGCGUAAAGCGCGCGUAGGCGGCGCAUUAAGUCAGAGGUGAAAGCCCGGGGCUCAACCCCGGAAUUGCCUUUGAGACUGGUGUGCUUGAGUACGGAAGAGGUGAGUGGAAUUCCCAGUGUAGAGGUGAAAUUCGUAAGAUAUUGGGAGAACACCAGUGGCGAAGGCGGCUCACUGGUCCGUAACUGACCGCUGAGGUGCGAAAGCGUGGGGGAGCAAAACAGGAUUGAGAUACCCGGGUAGUCC